AGAGUUUGAUUCUGGCUCAGGACGAACGCUGGCGGCGUGCUUAACACAUGCAAGUCGAACGGAGCACCCCAGAAGGAGUUUUCGGACAACGGAUGGGAAUGCUUAGUGGCGGACUGGUGAGUAACGCGUGAGGAACCUGCCUUCCAGAGGGGGACAACAGUUGGAAACGACUGCUAAUACCGCAUGAUGCGUUGGAGCCGCAUGACUCCGACGUCAAAGAUUUAUCGCUGGAAGAUGGCCUCGCGUCUGAUUAGCUAGUUGGUGAGGUAACGGCCCACCAAGGCGACGAUCAGUAGCCGGACUGAGAGGUUGGCCGGCCACAUUGGGACUGAGAUACGGCCCAGACUCCUACGGGAGGCAGCAGUGGGGAAUAUUGGGCAAUGGACGCAAGUCUGACCCAGCAACGCCGCGUGAAGGAAGAAGGCUUUCGGGUUGUAAACUUCUUUUAAGGGGGAAGAGCAGAAGACGGUACCCCUUGAAUAAGCCACGGCUAACUACGUGCCAGCAGCCGCGGUAAUACGUAAGUGGCAAGCGUU
RNAcentral lists this ribosomal RNA (536 nucleotides) under uncultured bacterium. RNAcentral describes it as "bacterial SSU rRNA". It matches the Rfam family "Bacterial small subunit ribosomal RNA", at positions 8 to 542 of the family's 1533-position model. The record is from RNAcentral.